UACGAAGGGGGCUAGCGUUGCUCGGAAUUACUGGGCGUAAAGGGCGCGUAGGCGGACGGUUUAGUCAGAGGUGAAAGCCCAGGGCUCAACCUUGGAAUUGCCUUUGAUACUGGCUGUCUUGAGUUCGGGAGAGGUGAGUGGAAUGCCGAGUGUAGAGGUGAAAUUCGUAGAUAUUCGGCGGAACACCAGUGGCGAAGGCGACUCACUGGCCCGAUACUGACGCUGAGGCGCGAAAGCGUGGGGAGCAAACAGG
This 253-nucleotide ribosomal RNA is filed under the name uncultured bacterium. Its description in RNAcentral is "partial 16S ribosomal RNA". It matches the Rfam family "Bacterial small subunit ribosomal RNA", at positions 524 to 776 of the family's 1533-position model. The record is from RNAcentral.